CAGGACGAACGCUGGCGGCGUGCCUAAUACAUGCAAGUCGAGCGGACCGACGGGAGCUUGCUCCCUUAGGUCAGCGGCGGACGGGUGAGUAACACGUGGGUAACCUGCCUGUAAGACUGGGAUAACUCCGGGAAACCGGGGCUAAUACCGGAUGCUUGAUUGAACCGCAUGGUUCAAUCAUAAAAGGUGGCUUUUAGCUACCACUUACAGAUGGACCCGCGGCGCAUUAGCUAGUUGGUGAGGUAACGGCUCACCAAGGCGACGAUGCGUAGCCGACCUGAGAGGGUGAUCGGCCACACUGGGACUGAGACACGGCCCAGACUCCUACGGGAGGCAGCAGUAGGGAAUCUUCCGCAAUGGACGAAAGUCUGACGGAGCAACGCCGCGUGAGUGAUGAAGGUUUUCGGAUCGUAAAACUCUGUUGUUAGGGAAGAACAAGUACCGUUCGAAUAGGGCGGCACCUUGACGGUACCUAACCAGAAAGCCACGGCUAACUACGUGCCAGCAGCCGCGGUAAUACGUAGGUGGCAAGCGUUGUCCGGAAUUAUUGGGCGUAAAGCGCGCGCAGGCGGUUUCUUAAGUCUGAUGUGAAAGCCCCCGGCUCAACCGGGGAGGGUCAUUGGAAACUGGGGAACUUGAGUGCAGAAGAGGAGAGUGGAAUUCCACGUGUAGCGGUGAAAUGCGUAGAGAUGUGGAGGAACACCAGUGGCGAAGGCGACUCUCUGGUCUGUAACUGACGCUGAGGCGCGAAAGCGUGGGGAGCGAACAGGAUUAGAUACCCUGGUAGUCCACGCCGUAAACGAUGAGUGCUAAGUGUUAGAGGGUUUCCGCCCUUUAGUGCUGCAGCAAACGCAUUAAGCACUCCGCCUGGGGAGUACGGUCGCAAGACUGAAACUCAAAGGAAUUGACGGGGGCCCGCACAAGCGGUGGAGCAUGUGGUUUAAUUCGAAGCAACGCGAAGAACCUUACCAGGUCUUGACAUCCUCUGACAACCCUAGAGAUAGGGCUUCCCCUUCGGGGGCAGAGUGACAGGUGGUGCAUGGUUGUCGUCAGCUCGUGUCGUGAGAUGUUGGGUUAAGUCCCGCAACGAGCGCAACCCUUGAUCUUAGUUGCCAGCAUUCAGUUGGGCACUCUAAGGUGACUGCCGGUGACAAACCGGAGGAAGGUGGGGAUGACGUCAAAUCAUCAUGCCCCCUUAUGACCUGGGCUACACACGUGCUACAAUGGGCAGAACAAAGGGCAGCGAAGCCGCGAGGCUAAGCCAAUCCCACAAAUCUGUUCUCAGUUCGGAUCGCAGUCUGCAACUCGACUGCGUGAAGCUGGAAUCGCUAGUAAUCGCGGAUC
This 1344-nucleotide ribosomal RNA is filed under the name Bacillus licheniformis. RNAcentral describes it as "bacterial SSU rRNA". It matches the Rfam family "Bacterial small subunit ribosomal RNA", at positions 25 to 1350 of the family's 1533-position model. Lineage: Bacteria; Bacillati; Bacillota; Bacilli; Caryophanales; Bacillaceae. The record is from RNAcentral.